CUGAGGUUUGUCGCAUGUAGAUUGAAGCUGUUGGGUUGGUCGCAAGCCUUGCUUUGAGUCUAUCCAGGCUUCCAUCAGGUGCAAGUUUUGCCUUGAACACCCAUCUGCAUCCGAUAACAUGCAUAUGAUCAUUUCGAGGAACUAAAUCCCAGGUAUUUGUUCCUCUAUGAUUGGAGAUGGCAAGUGCAAUUCGGUAACUCCAGAGGCAUUAUGGAGAUCAUUCUGUAUUUCAGCAUCAGAUACUAUCUGGAAAUGUGAUUGGCUCGCAGGAUUACCUGUACUGAACUCAUUGUCCUGUAUUACUGAAGUUGUUUGAGUUGAUCUGGUAAGAGACAUCUGUAUCCCUUAUGCUUCUCACUAUAUCCAAGAAAGAUACAUAGUCUCCACUGUUUUAAGACUAGUGUGAGCAAGUCUUUGAUGCCAGAUGUCCUCUCCAACCUCUGGUUGAGUUUGUGUGAAGAAGACCUCUGCAACUUUAGGUUCCACCUGG
Long non-coding RNA from Eucalyptus grandis, 490 nucleotides. RefSeq lists it as uncharacterized. The record is from RefSeq and is a predicted model, not a curated record. Lineage: Eukaryota; Viridiplantae; Streptophyta; Magnoliopsida; Myrtales; Myrtaceae. The transcript has 4 exons.